RNAcentral lists this unclassified non-coding RNA (4109 nucleotides) under Hevea brasiliensis (rubber tree). The record is from RNAcentral. Lineage: Eukaryota; Viridiplantae; Streptophyta; Magnoliopsida; Malpighiales; Euphorbiaceae.
CCGCUUCUGAGCUCAUUUUAUAAGCUCUCCAUUUCUUCUUCGACAAUCUAGAGGCUAGAGCUAGCAGUUUCGCCCUCCAUUCUCUGCUAUCUCGGACUUUGUUUUCUAAAUCAUUUUGCUGCAAUUGUUCUUCUCGAGCAAGCUCUGUGUGAAUAUCUCUAAUAGUUCUAGGAACUUUGUCAAGUGUACUGGUACUGGAAGCGAGAAUGCAGGCUUGCACUGGAGCUGCAGUGAUAGGUUCUUUACAACAACCCAUUGAGGCCACGGGAUCAGCCGUCCCUCCAAUAAGCUUCAAUAUAACUGGGUUUCCGCAUCAGAUUAAGCUUAAUUCGUUGAAGCCCUGUAGAUAUUCCAGUGUUGAAGGGAACUUGGUCACUGGGAAGCCACCCUUUUAUGUGUCUGUCCCUGUGACUGAAAGUGCAGGUGACAGAAGCAGCUUUAUAGACUAUGGCCUUAGUGAAGCGGAUCCUAAGGUGUGUGAAGUUGUUAACAAGGAAAAGGAUAGGCAGUUCAAAAGCCUUGUGCUUAUUGCCUCUGAGAAUUUUACAUCCCGAGCAGUGAUGGAAGCAGUUGGAUCAUGCCUCACAAACAAGUACUCUGUAGGACUGCCUGGUAAAAGAUACUAUGGUGGAAAUGAAUACAUUGAUGAGCUUGAAAACCUUUGUAAAGAAAGGGCUUUGGCUGCAUUCCACCUACAUGGAAAGAAGUGGGGGUUAAUGUCCAACCAAUGUCCGGUUCUCCUGCUAAUUUUGAGGUUUAUACUGCACUUCUUAAACCACAUGACAGGAUAAUGGUAAAAUGUUUUCUUCUUACUCUCUUCAUUCAAUUUCAUUAUUAAUGUGGUGGUUUCAGAACGCUGAAAUCCUCAGGUUUUACUUGAGCUAACUUAGGGUUUGGACUUACCUCAUGGAGGACACUUGUCUCACGGGUUCAUGAACCCUAAAAGACGGCUAUCUGGAACAUCAAUUUAUUUUGAGUCUAUGCCAUAUCGACUUGAUGAAUCUACAGGCCUGGUUGAUUAUUAUGUGCUUGAGAAAACAGCUAAUCUCUUCCAACCCAAGCUAAUUAUUGCUGGAGCCUGUGCUUAUCCUCGAGAUUUUGAUUAUCCUCGCAUGAGGAAGAUUGCAGAUGCUGUUGGUGCUUUCCUCAUGAUGGACAUGGCUCACAUAAGUGGACUUGUUGCUGCUUCUGUAGUUGCUGAUCCCUUUGAGCAUUGUGAUAUUGUGACAACAACUACCCACAAGUCUCUACGGGGUCCUAGAGGUGGCAUGAUCUUCUUCAGAAAGGGUCCUGUUCUUGGAGUUGAUUUGGAAUCAGCCAUCAACAAUGCUGUUUUUCCAGGCCUACAGGGUGGUCCUCAUAACCAUACAAUUGGGGGCCUGGCUGUUUGCUUGAAGCAUGCACAAUCCCGUGAAGUUAAACAUUAUCAGAAGCAGGUCAUCUCAAACUGUAGAGCUCUUGCAAACCUAUUGGUUGAAGUAGGAUAUAUGGAAGUGAUAAUCACCUGGUUCUUGUAGACUUGAGACCACUGGUAAGUUUCCUGCUUCUUCCUUGUACAUAGGCUUACUAUUGAAUUAGUAUAGUUUAUGCCACAGCAUGCUGUGUCAUAGGAACCUAUCCAAUUUUCAAAAGAAUCCUUACUGCAGACAUGAUCCAGCAGUGUAUUUAGAUUUACUCAGAUAUUAUAUUGGUACAAACUUUUCCCUAUGUGCAUUGAAUGUUCUAAGACGGUUCUUCUCAAUAUUAUAGACUUGAUUACUAUUUUCAACUUUUAGCAAUGAUAUCAUGGUACAAAGUGUUCUAUGAAUCAUAUUUUGGGAGCAGUAAAUUCUUCCAUAUGCUUGAUAGCAAUCAACAACCUCUAUCAACAGGGAAUAGAUGGAGCUCGGGUAGAGAAAAUUCUUGACCUGGCAUCUAUUACCCUCAACAAGAAUUCAGUGCCCAAUGAGCUUCAUUCUCUGCCCAUUUAUUUUGUUCUGUUUCAUUUCCCUCUCUCUUGUAAACAUCCCCAUGGUAUCUGUAGGAGAUAAGAGUGCCCUAGUUCCAGGUGGCAUUCGCAUUGGAUCACCUGCUAUGACUACCAGAGGAUUCACAGAGAAAGAAUUUGUAGCGACUGCUGAUUAUAUUCAUGAGGGUGUGCAAAUAACAUUUGAAGCUAAGAAAUCAGUGUCAGGAUCAAAGCUUCAAGAUUUCUUGAAAUUUGUUGCAUCCCCUGAUUUCUCUUUGAAGGAUAGAGUGUCAGAUCUCCAGACAAAAGUUGAAGCUCUUACAACUCAAUUCCCAAUACCUGGUGUAUGAGCAUCAUGGCCGGACUGGACUAUAUAGGUUGCUGUUAUGAUGCAUGCAGUGUGAUUUACUAUGUUAUGUUUAAGCUUAUAGUCUACAAAUUCUACCGAUAACACAAAGGAGAGUAAAAAGCAUUCUAGUCGCACCACUCGUUGUUUAAGGAAUGAUGCGAAAGGGUAACAAUAUUACAUUAAGUUUUGAUAGCAUGCUCUUUUUCUUAAGAUUCUUAACUGAUUUUUUUUUUCUUUUUAAUCUGGGAUAAGGCAAUGCAGUUCUUGUUAGAUUCAUUUAAGUCGAAUGAGUAAUCAUUGUUUCAAAUUCUCAUGCAGAGUUACAACAGCAUCUACCCCAAAGACAAAGUUGUUUGUUGGCUUUGAUUCUGCAGACCUAACCCCCAUAAGGUCAUGAGGGGCAGGUUUCUACUAUUACACAACCAUUUUAGCGUCCACCCUCCAGGGCAAGGAAUACCUCGUGUAUCGUAUCAAAAUGUUCCUAUCCAGCUUGAUCUUUGCCUCUGCUGCAAAUUGUUCAGCCUCAAAUGUCCUAAGGAGACUGACAAGUACAAAGCAAAUAUCAUGGGAUACAAUCCAAUUUCCCUGAUUGAAAAUGUCAUUGAGAAAUUUAGCAAAGCACACCAAGAAUAAAAGUAUGUUUUAGGAGCAUAAACCAUUUAUCAUCUGAAGGCUUCUAAGGCAUCAACAUCAGAAAAUGCCGAUGACAGUUCCAUAUCAUAUUCUUGUAUCCAUCAGCAACUUGAGAUUGAAACAGAUCCUCUUUCAAAUAGUAUAUCCACUCAUUUCACAUUAUUCUUGUAAUUUUGUUUUUGAAGGAAAAAGAAUACCUUCGAUAUAUGAAAAGUCAUAUUCUCACAUUAGAAUAUCAACAUGAAUUUGAAUAAAAACAUAGCAUUCACAUAUGCUAUUCCCAUCACACGUUCUACGGUCACUGUUUCCACGAACUUAAGACAAAACACAUCUUGCAGAGAGGAAUCAACUCAAUCAAGUAUCCCUUUUAUUUGAGAACAUAGAAUCAGCCAAAAAAAAAAUGUUUUUCCCUUCCCAUGAGUCAAAAUUGUUUACAACCCAAAUUAGGUGUUAAGUUUCAGAGCUUUUCAAGCUAAACUGAUUCCAAAAGCAAAAUUUCUAAGCCAAGCUUCUUUAAAACAAAAUUGCAUUCUGCAUAAUUCAAGCAAAACCAUUUUAGCUACCAUCUGAUAGAACUUAACUUAUAGCCAAUUUGGUUAUAUAAGAUGAAUAAUUAUAGAAUUUAGCUGCUCAAAAUUUGAAGAAAGCAAUGAUUGCUCCUCCAAUCGUGAAGAGUAGCUCUUUCUAGGCACCAUGCAAAAGGUGAAUUGGCAUUAGAUUAAAUCAAACACCCGUGUCUGAGUGAGUGCCAUCUUACAAAGCAAAAAGGCUAUAUAAUCAAGUUGUAUAAAGGAUUUGCAAGUUAAUACACACAGGAGCAGAUCGAAUCAUAAACCAUUAACAAAGGAAAAAAAAAUAAAGUAUAGCCGGAUUAUUGUGACAUGAAACAACAGUGAGUUUCAAGAAUCUUCAUCCGGCCAAGAAAAUUCAAUAUUGGCUCUAUGCGGCAGACGGGUCACCAUGAAUUGGUGCCUGCUGUUGACUCAGGUUCAGAGCCAUUAACAAACAAAACCAGAUUGCAAGUUAGAUACACCUGAAAGUUAUUCUCUGAAAACUUUGGAAACCCUCAAUAGAAAAAAGAGCUAAAUUCCACUUCUUUUGAAGUAUCUAGAGAUUAUACGCCUGCAAACUACAGAGUUCCUACCAAACAGAGUUACUUAGAGGCAUUGAAAUAACAGG